GGGUCAGUAGGUUGGUCGUGCCACCGGUACGUACUGGUCUCACUGAUUCCUCCUUCCUGAAGAACCGUAAUGCCAUUAAUUUGGUGUUGCGGGGAAACAGGACUGUUACUUUGAAAAAAUUAGAGUGUUUAAAGCAAGCUAACGCUUGAAUUCAUUAGCAUGGAAUAAUGAAAUAGGACGAUCCAUCCUAUUUUGUUGGUUUCUAGGAUUGACGUA
Molecule: ribosomal RNA, 216 nt
Filed under: Glomeromycotina sp.
Lineage: Eukaryota; Fungi; Glomeromycota
Description: partial small subunit ribosomal RNA
Rfam family: Eukaryotic small subunit ribosomal RNA (bases 40-216)
Source: RNAcentral